Molecule: long non-coding RNA, 789 nt
Organism: Megalopta genalis
Lineage: Eukaryota; Metazoa; Arthropoda; Insecta; Hymenoptera; Halictidae
Source: RefSeq, a predicted model, not a curated record
UAGAGCGAACAGAUGUUUUCUGUGCUCACGAUGAUUUGCCGAAGAGCCAAGGAAUAUUGUCGAAAUGUUUGCGAAUACGUGCUGGCAGAAAUUCGAGAGAGUUCGCGUUCGACGAGAGGAACAAGAACAGGGUUUAGAAGGAGGAUGGAUACCUGAUCUGCGUAUUUCGAUACCUUAAGGCUUAAGGUCGGCCAGCCCCGCAAAUAGAAACCUCGCUGUUUGCGUUCAACGCUCACCGGACUUACUUUUCGCGACCGGCCCGCAACGGACACAGCGAUCGCGACCGCUAUCGACGCCGAUCUCCGAAUAUCCCCGGCACUCGACGGGGACCGACCGAAAAAGAGUAAUUCUCCAUGCAUCGUGAAUCGUGAAUCGGGAAUCGCGAUUCCAUUCAGCAACCGUGCUCGAAACGCGCGACGAAUCAAUCGCGACGGAAAUUCUGGUUGCGCGUCGGACGCUAGGAAUCGCGGUAUGUAUGUCGUAUGCCGCAUGAAAUCAGCUUCGCGCUAACAAGAGUGACUGGUUUGUGUUACUUUAAAAAAAAAAAAAAUAUCGAUUCAUCGAGGAAUACUAAAAAAACCAGAAUAAGAAAGACGGGGAUUCUCGAAACACUAUAAAGCGCGUGAAUUCGCGUAAACCGUUUUUGUAGUCUAUUUGCGACGAUAGAUUCGCCAUUGGGGCGGUGGCGCGUGUGAAUCAAGAAUAAUAAUUAAUAGCCGUUAGGAGACCCGUGACAGAGCGCGACUCUCGAUCUGUUCCGUAAUCGCAAAUAUUACGAAAUUUUAAUGA